RNAcentral lists this long non-coding RNA (603 nucleotides) under Phasianus colchicus (ring-necked pheasant). RNAcentral's name for it is "lncRNA (ENSPCLG00000001410.1)". The record is from RNAcentral. Lineage: Eukaryota; Metazoa; Chordata; Aves; Galliformes; Phasianidae.
GUCAUUGCCUUUCAAGAUGAGGCAGAGAUCCUUGUCUUGCAAUGCCCAGUGUGCUAAGCUUUCUCACUUCCAGCAGUGGGGAAGGGUCAGAGAUUGUGUUGUUGUAUGCAUCCUCGGUGGCAUUAUUAACUGGAGCUUUUCAAACAGACGAAGUAUGUUACUGUGGCUAAAUUGUAAUGAAAGAAGAGAUGGCUGUUUGCCAAUAAAUGAUGCCAUAUGCAACAAAGUGCAGAGAUGGACUAUAGGCUUCCAGCGAGUUACCACUGCCAAGGAGGAUGCAAAGACAGGCAGUUUCCUGGCAUCCCCUGCUUUCUUGAAGACAAUGUACCAUAUCACCGUGGGGAAAAAAGAAAAGCAGAUUUCUCUGGACAGCAAUCAUCCUUCAGCUUCUAAGAAAGAACAGUCUCACUAGACAAGAUGACAAAGAAAAGUGGCCCCUUGGAUAAGCGACUCAUCACUUCUUCUGCCAUCACUUCUCACGUUAAUUCCAGUGACUACAGUACUACAAUGAAAAUGGAACAUAGGAGUUUUCGUAAGCAUGUAAGCAAAAAUAUCUUAAAAUCUCUGAAAAAUAAAAGUAGGAUUUAGGUACCCUUUUUUGCA